This 110-nucleotide ribosomal RNA is filed under the name Erysiphe sp. Ger2. Its description in RNAcentral is "5.8S ribosomal RNA". It matches the Rfam family "5.8S ribosomal RNA", at positions 1 to 109 of the family's 154-position model. Rfam says of the family: 5.8S ribosomal RNA (5.8S rRNA) is a component of the large subunit of the eukaryotic ribosome. It is transcribed by RNA polymerase I as part of the 45S precursor that also contains 18S and 28S rRNA. The record is from RNAcentral. Lineage: Eukaryota; Fungi; Ascomycota; Leotiomycetes; Helotiales; Erysiphaceae.
AAACUUUCAACAACGGAUCUCUUGGCUCUGGCAUCGAUGAAGAACGCAGCGAAAUGCGAUAAGUAAUGUGAAUUGCAGAAUUUAGUGAAUCAUCGAAUCUUUGAACGCAC